Molecule: transfer RNA, 57 nt
Filed under: Rattus norvegicus (Norway rat)
Lineage: Eukaryota; Metazoa; Chordata; Mammalia; Rodentia; Muridae
Rfam family: tRNA
About the family: Transfer RNA (tRNA) molecules are approximately 80 nucleotides in length. Their secondary structure includes four short double-helical elements and three loops (D, anti-codon, and T loops). Further hydrogen bonds mediate the characteristic L-shaped molecular structure. tRNAs have two regions of fundamental functional importance: the anti-codon, which is responsible for specific mRNA codon recognition, and the 3' end, to which the tRNAs corresponding amino acid is attached (by aminoacyl-tRNA synthetases). tRNAs cope with the degeneracy of the genetic code in two manners: having more than one tRNA (with a specific anti-codon) for a particular amino acid; and 'wobble' base-pairing, i.e. permitting non-standard base-pairing at the 3rd anti-codon position.
Source: Rfam by way of RNAcentral
UGGCUCAGUGGUAGAGCGCUUGCCUAGCAAGCACAAGGCCCUGGGUUCAGUCCCCAG